RNAcentral lists this ribosomal RNA (497 nucleotides) under uncultured bacterium. Its description in RNAcentral is "partial 16S ribosomal RNA". It matches the Rfam family "Bacterial small subunit ribosomal RNA", at positions 28 to 507 of the family's 1533-position model. The record is from RNAcentral.
GAUGAACGCUGGCGGCGUGCCUAAUACAUGCAAGUCGAGCGAACAGACGAGGAGCUUGCUCCUCUGACGUUAGCGGCGGACGGGUGAGUAACACGUGGAUAACCUACCUAUAAGACUGGGAUAACUUCGGGAAACCGGAGCUAAUACCGGAUAAUAUAUUGAACCGCAUGGUUCAAUAGUGAAAGACGGUUUUGCUGUCACCUAUAGAUGGAUCCGCUCCGCAUUAGCUAGUUGGUAAGGUAACGGCUUACCAAGGCGACGAUGCGUAGCCGACCUGAGAGGGUGAUCGGCCACACUGGAGCUGAGACACGGUCCAGACUCCUACGGGAGGCAGCAGUAGGGAAUCUUCCGCAAUGGGCGAAAGCCUGACGGAGCAACGCCGCGUGAGUGAUGAAGGUCUUCGGAUCGUAAAACUCUGUUAUUAGGGAAGAACAAAUGUGUAAGUAACUAUGCACGUCUUGACGGUACCUAAUCAGAAAGCCACGGCUAACUACGUG